UACAGAGGGUGCGAGCGUUGUUCGGAAUUACUGGGCGUAAAGAGCUCGUAGGCGGUCUGUCGCGUCGGCUGUGAAAACUCGGGGCUCAACUCCGAGCUUGCAGUCGAUACGGGCAGGCUAGAGUUCGGCAGGGGAGACUGGAAUUCCUGGUGUAGCGGUGAAAUGCGCAGAUAUCAGGAGGAACACCGGUGGCGAAGGCGGGUCUCUGGGCCGAUACUGACGCUGAGGAGCGAAAGCGUGGGGAGCGAACAGG
This 253-nucleotide ribosomal RNA is filed under the name uncultured bacterium. RNAcentral describes it as "partial 16S ribosomal RNA". It matches the Rfam family "Bacterial small subunit ribosomal RNA", at positions 524 to 776 of the family's 1533-position model. The record is from RNAcentral.